CACAUGCAAGUCGAGGGGCAUCAAGAAAAAAGCUUGCUUUCUUUGCUGGCGACCGGCGCAAGGGUGAGUAACACAUAUCCCACCUGCCCUUUACACGGGGAUAGCCUUUCAAAGGAAAGAUUAAUACCCGAUAGCAUAAUGAUUCCACAUGGUUUCAUUAUUAAAGGAUUCCGGUAAAGGAUGGGGAUGCGUACCAUUAAAUAGUAGGCGGGGUAACGGCCCACCUAAUCUUCGAUGGAUAGGGGUUCUGAGAGGAAGGUCCCCCACAUUGCAGACUGACACACGGUCACACACUACCUACGGGAGGCAGCAGUGAGGAAUAUUGGUCAAUGAGCGAGAGCCUGAACCACCCCAGUAGCGUGAAGGAUGACUGCCCUAUGGGUUGUAAACUUCUUUUAUAAAAGAAUAAAGUCAGGUAUGGAUACCCGGUUGCAUGUACUUUAUGAAUAAGGAUCGGCUAACUCCGUGCCAGCAGCCGCGGUAAUACUGACGAUCCGAGCGUUAUCCGGAUUUAUUGAGAUUAAAGGGAACGUAAAUGGAUGUUUAAGUCACAUGUGAAGGUUUGCGGCUCAACUCUGUCAAGAUUGCAGUUGAUACUGGAUAUCUUGACUGCAGUUGAGGCGAGAGUGAAUUCGUGGUGUAGCGGUGAAAUGUUUAGAUAUCACGAAGAACUCAGAUUGCGAAGGCAGCCUGCUAAGCUGCAACUGACUUUGAGGCUCGAAAGUGUGGCUAUCAAACAGGAUUAGAUACUCUGGUAGUCCACACGGUAAACGAUGAAUACUCGCUGUUUGCGAUAUACUGCAAGCGGCCAAGCGAAAGCGUUAUGUAUUCCACGUGGGGAGUACGCCGGCAGCGGUGAAACUCAAAGGAAUUGACGGGGGCCCGCACAAGCGGAGGAACAUGUGGUUUAAUUCGAUGAUACGAGAGGAACCUUAGUCCGGGCUUAAAUUGCAGAUGAAUUACGGUGAAAGUCUGUAAGCCGCAAGGCAUCCAUGAAGGUGAUGCAUGGUUGUAGUCAGCUCGUGCCGUGAGGUGUCGGAUUAAGUGCCAUAACGAGCGCAACCCUUGUAGUCAGUUACUAACAGGUUCUCGCUGAGGACUCUGACAAGACUGACCAUCGUAAGAUGUGAGGAAGGUGGGGAUGAUGUCAAAUCAGCACGGCCGUUACGUCCGGGGAUACACACGUGUUACAAUGGGGGGUACAGAGGGCCGGUACCACGGGAGUGGAUGCCAAUCCCCAAACCCUUUGUCAGUUAGGACUGGAGUCUGCAACCCGAAUUCAGGAAGCUGGAUUCUCUAGUAAUAGCGCAUCAGCCAGGGUGCGGUGAAUACGUUCCCGGGCCUUGUACACCCCGCCCGUCAAGCCAUGGGAGCCGGGGGUACGUGAAGUGCGUAAAAGGGAGGAGCGCCCUAGGGUAAAACUGGUGACUGGGGC
RNAcentral lists this ribosomal RNA (1435 nucleotides) under uncultured organism. Its description in RNAcentral is "16S ribosomal RNA". It matches the Rfam family "Bacterial small subunit ribosomal RNA". The record is from RNAcentral.